Molecule: ribosomal RNA, 440 nt
Filed under: uncultured bacterium
Lineage: Bacteria
Description: partial 16S ribosomal RNA
Rfam family: Bacterial small subunit ribosomal RNA
Source: RNAcentral
CCUACGGGAGGCAGCAGUGGGGAAUAUUGGACAAUGGGGGGAACCCUGAUCCCGCGACGCCGCGUGAGUGAAGACGUAUUUCGGGAUGUAAAGCUCUAUCAGCAGGGAAGAAAAUGACGGUACCUGACUAAUAAGCCCCGGCUAACUCAGUGCAAGCAGCCGCGGUAAUACGCAGGGGGCAAGCGUUAUCCGGAUUUACUGGGUGUAAAGGGAGCGUAGACGGUGCAGCAAGUCAGUUGUGAAAGUUUGGGGCCCAACCCCGGGACUGCAUUGGAAACUGUUGAACUGGAGUACAGGAGAGGUAAGCGGAAUUCCUAGUGUAGCGGUGAAAUGCGUAGAUAUUAGGAGGAACACCAGUGGCGAAGGCGGCUUACUGGACUGUAACUGACGUUGAGGCUCGAAAGUGUGGGGAGCAAACAGGAUUAGAUACCCUUGUAGUC